RNAcentral lists this ribosomal RNA (466 nucleotides) under uncultured bacterium. RNAcentral describes it as "partial 16S ribosomal RNA". It matches the Rfam family "Bacterial small subunit ribosomal RNA", at positions 28 to 507 of the family's 1533-position model. The record is from RNAcentral.
GACGAACGCUGGCGGCGUGCUUAACACAUGCAAGUCGAACGGAAAGGCCCUGCUUGCAGGGUACUCGAGUGGCGAACGGGUGAGUAACACGUGGGUGAUCUGCCCUGCACUUCGGGAUAAGCUUGGGAAACUGGGUCUAAUACCGGAUAGGAGCCAUCUUUAGUGUGGUGGUUGGAAAGUUUUUUCGGUGUAGGAUGAGCUCGCGGCCUAUCAGCUUGUUGGUGGGGUAAUGGCCUACCAAGGCGGCGACGGGUAGCCGGCCUGAGAGGGUGUACGGCCACAUUGGGACUGAGAUACGGCCCAGACUCCUACGGGAGGCAGCAGUGGGGAAUAUUGCACAAUAGGCGCAAGCCUGAUGCAGCGACGCCGCGUGGGGGAUGAAGGCCUUCGGGUUGUAAACUCCUUUCGCUAGGGACGAAGCUUUUUUGUGACGGUACCUAGAUAAGAAGCACCGGCUAACUACGUG